Molecule: transfer-messenger RNA, 406 nt
Filed under: Patescibacteria group
Lineage: Bacteria
Also listed under: 5 other names
Description: XYB1-40-15 sp001783185 Standard tmRNA
Rfam family: transfer-messenger RNA
About the family: Bacterial tmRNA, also known as 10Sa RNA or SsrA, is named for its dual tRNA and mRNA-like properties. Its role is to liberate the mRNA from a stalled ribosome. To accomplish this part of the tmRNA is used as a reading frame that ends in a translation stop signal.
Source: RNAcentral
GGGGAUGACAGGCUUCGAUAGUCGGAGUCGUUAUCUAAAUGGGCAUAUCGAGCGCUUACCUCGCUAAACUAAGCAAAACUUUACGUGUAAACGUAUUAAGCCGUGCUAAGAACGCACUUGCUCGCGCAUUUGCUGUUCCUACAUUGGCUUCCGUUGUCGCUUAAAUUCGACAGCCAUCACUCCCUUGAUACUCAAUAAAGGGACAGUGGUGUAAACCAUUGAGCGUAAAAAUAUGCCCUUAUCCGCGAGCAUAUUUUGAAAUUCUUGCGGACAAUCUUAUAGAAUCAAUUUUGCUGUUUUGUAUCUAUAAGCUACCCCCGACUUAGUCGGGGCUAAACCAGCUAAAUAUGUAGUACAUUUAGCUAACCCGAUAUAGACCCGGGUUCAAUUCCCGGCAUCUCCACCA